RNAcentral lists this ribosomal RNA (250 nucleotides) under uncultured bacterium. Its description in RNAcentral is "partial 16S ribosomal RNA". It matches the Rfam family "Bacterial small subunit ribosomal RNA", at positions 86 to 339 of the family's 1533-position model. The record is from RNAcentral.
UCGGACUUAGCGGCGGACGGGUGAGUAACGCGUAGGAAUCUGCCUGAUAGUGGGGGAUAACCCGGGGAAACCCGGGCUAAUACCGCAUACUCCCUACGGGGGAAAGCGGGGGACCGCAAGGCCUCGCGCUAUUGGAUGAGCCCGCGUCCGAUUAGCUUGUUGGUGGGGUAAAAGCCUACCAAGGCGACGAUCGGUAGCUGGUCUGAGAGGACGACCAGCCACACUGGGACUGAGACACGGCCCAGACUCC